Molecule: ribosomal RNA, 292 nt
Filed under: uncultured bacterium
Lineage: Bacteria
Description: partial 16S ribosomal RNA
Rfam family: Bacterial small subunit ribosomal RNA
Source: RNAcentral
GGAUUAGAUACCCUGGUAGUCCACGCCGUAAACGAUGAGUGCUAGAUGUCGGGAUUUAUCUCGGUGUCGGAGCUAACGUUUUAAGCACUCCGCCUGGGGAGUACGGUCGCAAGAUUAGAACUCAAAGGAAUUGACGGGGGCCCGCACAAGUGGUGGAGCAUGCGGUUUAAUUCGACGCAACGCGCAGAACCUUACCAACCCUUGACAUAGAAAUUAAGGUGAUUAGAGAUAGUCACUGUCAGUUCGGCUGGAUUUCAUACAGGUGUUGCAUGGCUGUCGUCAGCUCGUGCCG